Molecule: ribosomal RNA, 276 nt
Filed under: uncultured eukaryote
Lineage: Eukaryota
Description: partial Bacterial large subunit ribosomal RNA
Rfam family: Bacterial large subunit ribosomal RNA
Source: RNAcentral
UUGGAAAGCACAGCCAUAGAGGGUGAAAGUCCCGUAUACGUAAGUUGUAGUAAAUGGUAGCAGUAUCCUGAGUAGCGCGGGACACGAGAAAUCCUGUGUGAAUCUGUCAGAACCAUCUGAUAAGGCUAAAUACUCCUAGAAGACCGAUAGUGCACUAGUACCGUGAGGGAAAGGUGAAAAGUACCCUGAAUAAGGGAGUGAAAUAGUUCCUGAAACCGUACGCCUACAAGCGGUCGGAGCCUCUAUAUGGGGUGACGGCGUGCCUUUUGCAUAAUG